Molecule: ribosomal RNA, 253 nt
Filed under: uncultured bacterium
Lineage: Bacteria
Description: partial 16S ribosomal RNA
Rfam family: Bacterial small subunit ribosomal RNA
Source: RNAcentral
GACGAACCGUCCAAACGUUAUUCGGAAUUACUGGGCUUAAAGGGUGCGUAGGCGGCGCGGUAAGUUGGAUGUGAAAUCCCUCGGCUUAACCGAGGAACUGCGUUCAAAACUACCGUGCUCGAGGGAGAUAGAGGUGAGCGGAACUUAGGGUGGAGCGGUGAAAUGCGUUGAUAUCCUAAGGAACACCGGUGGCGAAAGCGGCUCACUGGAUCUUUUCUGACGCUGAGGCACGAAAGCUAGGGUAGCGAACGGG